Molecule: ribosomal RNA, 760 nt
Filed under: uncultured bacterium
Lineage: Bacteria
Description: bacterial SSU rRNA
Rfam family: Bacterial small subunit ribosomal RNA
Source: RNAcentral
AGAGUUUGAUCCUGGCUCAGGACGAACGCUGGCGGCGUGCUUAACACAUGCAAGUCGAACGAGGUGCUUCGGCAUCGAGUGGCGAACGGGUGAGUAACACGUGAGCAACCUGCCCCUGGCUCUGGGAUAGCCUCCGGAAACGGGAUUAAUACCGGACAUGACCUUCACCUGCAUGGGUGGGGGUGGAAAGUUUUUCGGCCAGGGAUGGGCUCGCGGCCUAUCAGCUUGUUGGGGGGGUAACGGCCCACCAAGGCGACGACGGGAGCCGGCCUGAGAGGGCGACCGGCCACACUGGGACUGAGACACGGCCCAGACUCCUACGGGAGGCAGCAGUGGGGAAUAUUGCGCAAUGGGGGGAACCCUGACGCAGCGACGCCGCGUGCGGAUGAAGGCCCUCGGGUUGUAAACCGCUUUCACCAGGGACGAAGCGGGAGUGACGGUACCUGGGGAAGAAGCGCCGGCUAACUACGUGCCAGCAGCCGCGGUAAUACGUAGGGCGCGAGCGUUGUCCGGAAUUAUUGGGCGUAAAGAGCUCGUAGGCGGCCUGUUGCGUCUGCUGUGAAAUCCUGGGGCUUAACCCCGGGCGUGCAGUGGAUACGGUCUGGCUGGAGGCAGGCAGGGGAGAACGGAAUUCCCGGUGUAGCGGUGAAAUGCGCAGAUAUCGGGAGGAACCCGGUGGCGAAGGCGGUUCUCUGGGCCUGUUCUGACGCUGAGGAGCGAAAGCGUGGGGAGCGAACAGGAUUAGAUACCCUAGUAGUCC